Molecule: small RNA, 129 nt
Filed under: Marmota monax (woodchuck)
Lineage: Eukaryota; Metazoa; Chordata; Mammalia; Rodentia; Sciuridae
Source: RNAcentral
GCCAGGCAAAGUGGUGCACGCCUGUAAUCCCAGCUUCUUUGGGAGGCUGAGGCAGGAGGAUCAUGAGUUCAAGGCCAGCCUUAGCAAUUUAGAGAAGCCCUAAGCAACUCAGUGAGAACCCUGUCUCUA